AGUUAAUAAGUUUUAGAUAAACAUUUACCUUGAAAGUAAAAUAAAGAAAGUUAAAUUCUUUCAUUAACUU
RNAcentral lists this transfer RNA (70 nucleotides) under Menida violacea. RNAcentral describes it as "tRNA-Ser". RNAcentral also lists the same sequence under 1 other name. The record is from RNAcentral. Lineage: Eukaryota; Metazoa; Arthropoda; Insecta; Hemiptera; Pentatomidae.